This 813-nucleotide ribosomal RNA is filed under the name uncultured bacterium. Its description in RNAcentral is "bacterial SSU rRNA". It matches the Rfam family "Bacterial small subunit ribosomal RNA", at positions 80 to 892 of the family's 1533-position model. The record is from RNAcentral.
GUGAUAUAUGGGUUAGUGGCGGACGGGUGAGUAACGCGUGGGUAACCUGCCUUACACAGGGGGAUAACACUUAGAAAUAGGUGCUAAAACCGCAUAAGCGCACAGCUUCGCAUGAAGCGGUGUGAAAAACUCCGGUGGUGUAAGAUGGACCCGCGUCUGAUUAGCUUGUUGGCGGGGUAACGGCCCACCAAGGCGACGAUCAGUAGCCGGCCUGAGAGGGCGGACGGCCACAUUGGGACUGAGACACGGCCCAGACUCCUACGGGAGGCAGCAGUGGGGAAUAUUGCACAAUGGGGGAAACCCUGAUGCAGCGACGCCGCGUGAGUGAAGAAGUAAUUCGUUACGUAAAGCUCUAUCAGCAGGGAAGAAACACUGACCUUACGGUCAGCAGACGGUACCUGAGUAAGAAGCCCCGGCUAACUACGUGCCAGCAGCCGCGGUAAUACGUAGGGGGCAAGCGUUAUCCGGAUUUACUGGGUGUAAAGGGAGCGUAGACGGUGCGCCAAGUCUGGAGUGAAAUGCCGCAGCUUAACUGCGGAACUGCUUUGGAAACUGGCGAACUAGAGUGCGGGAGGGGUAAGCGGAAUUCCUAGUGUAGCGGUGAAAUGCGUAGAUAUUAGGAGGAACACCGGUGGCGAAGGCGGCUUACUGGACCGUAACUGACGUUGAGGCUCGAAAGCGUGGGGAGCAAACAGGAUUGGAUACCCUGGUAGUCCACGCCGUAAACGAUGAUUACUAGGUGUCGGGGACCCAAGGGUCUCCGGUGCCGCCGCAAACGCAUUAAGUAAUCCACCUGGGGAGUACGUCCGCAAG